AACGAACGCUGGCGGCAUGCCUAACACAUGCAAGUCGAACGAGACCUUCGGGUCUAGUGGCGCACGGGUGCGUAACGCGUGGGAACCUGCCCUUAGGUUCGGAAUAACUCCCCGAAAGGGGUGCUAAUACCGGAUAAUGUCUUCGGACCAAAGAUUUAUCGCCUUUGGAUGGGCCCGCGUUGGAUUAGCUAGUUGGUAGGGUAAAAGCCUACCAAGGCGACGAUCCAUAGCUGGUCUGAGAGGAUGAUCAGCCACACUGGGACUGAGACACGGCCUAGACUCCUACGGGAGGCAGCAGUGGGGAAUAUUGGACAAUGGGCGAAAGCCUGAUCCAGCAAUGCCGCGUGAGUGAUGAAGGCCUUAGGGUUGUAAAGCUCUUUUAACCGGGAUGAUAAUGACAGUACCGGGAGAAUAAGCCCCGGCUAACUCCGUG
This 433-nucleotide ribosomal RNA is filed under the name uncultured bacterium. RNAcentral describes it as "partial 16S ribosomal RNA". It matches the Rfam family "Bacterial small subunit ribosomal RNA", at positions 29 to 507 of the family's 1533-position model. The record is from RNAcentral.